AAACAUGGCUCUUCGAGAAAUCUACAUGAAGAGUCGGACCUGCCCAGUGAUAUAUAAAAUAUUUAACGGCCGCGGUACUCUGACCGUGCAAAGGUAGCAUAAUCAUUUGCUCUAUAAUUGAGGGCUGGAAUGAAAGGUUUGACAAGGGCCGCCCUGUCUCUACAAAAAUUACUGGAACUUACUUUUUAGGUGAAGAAUCCUAAAUAAAAUUAAAAGACAAGAAGACCCUAUCGAGCUUGAAACUUAUCUGUGAUAUCAAGAAAAUAGAAUAUAUUUCCUUUCAUGGAAAAUUUUGGUUGGGGCGACAGAGGAACAACAAAAGCUUCUUUUUACAUAAACAUAUAUUUAUAGAGAUCCACAUUUUUGUGAUCAAAAGAAUUAGUUACCGUAGGGAUAACAGCAUAAUCUUUUUAGAGAGUUCUUAUCGAAAAAAAGGUUUGUGACCUCGAUGUUGGACUAGAAUAUCCUGACAGGUGCAGAAGCCUUCAAGGGUUGGUCUGUUCGACCAUUAAAAUUCUACAUGAUCUGA
Molecule: ribosomal RNA, 529 nt
Filed under: Austrolittorina unifasciata
Lineage: Eukaryota; Metazoa; Mollusca; Gastropoda; Littorinimorpha; Littorinidae
Description: partial 16S ribosomal RNA
Rfam family: Bacterial large subunit ribosomal RNA
Source: RNAcentral